UACACUCCUGCGGGAGGCAGCAGUGGGGAAUUUUGGACAAUGGGCGAAAGCCUGAUCCAGCCAUGCCGCGUGCAGGAUGAAGGCCUUCGGGUUGUAAACUGCUUUUGUACGGAACGAAACGGCCUUUUCUAAUAAAGAGGGCUAAUGACGGUACCGUAAGAAUAAGCACCGGCUAACUACGUGCCAGCAGCCGCGGUAAUACGUAGGGUGCAAGCGUUAAUCGGAAUUACUGGGCGUAAAGCGUGCGCAGGCGGUUAUGUAAGACAGUUGUGAAAUCCCCGGGCUCAACCUGGGAACUGCAUCUGUGACUGCAUAGCUAGAGUACGGUAGAGGGGGAUGGAAUUCCGCGUGUAGCAGUGAAAUGCGUAGAUAUGCGGAGGAACACCGAUGGCGAAGGCAAUCCCCUGGACCUGUACUGACGCUCAUGCACGAAAGCGUGGGGAGCAAACAGGAUUAGAUACCCGGGUAGUCC
This 472-nucleotide ribosomal RNA is filed under the name uncultured organism. RNAcentral's name for it is "partial 16S ribosomal RNA". It matches the Rfam family "Bacterial small subunit ribosomal RNA", at positions 332 to 796 of the family's 1533-position model. The record is from RNAcentral.